This 1080-nucleotide small RNA is filed under the name Pongo abelii (Sumatran orangutan). Its description in RNAcentral is "retained intron". The record is from RNAcentral. Lineage: Eukaryota; Metazoa; Chordata; Mammalia; Primates; Hominidae.
CUGGCCAGGUCAUGGAAAGACCCUGGUAGUGGGCAGGAUGCCUGAAUUCUGUCUCCUGGUAUUUUUCCAGAAAUGGUAGAGAGAGGGGCGCACAUGACAGUAGUUUUAUCUCUCCCUGAGGUUCCUGUAUCCCUGGGAGAUAUUAUACCACCUUCCUUAGAGGAAAAUGAGGUCCAAAGUGUGAACCUACUUUUGGAAAGCAAGCUGGGUAUCUGAAAUCCUAGUCCUCAUUUUGUUAACCUUAUCUUGCAGAGUAAAGGUGGGAUUCUAUCCAAAGCUUGUGAUUAUAUCCAGGAGCUUCGGCAGAGUAACCACCGCUUGUCUGAAGAACUGCAGGGACUUGACCAGCUGCAGCUGGACAAUGACGUGCUUCGACAACAGGUGGAAGAUCUUAAAAACAAGAAUCUGCUGCUUCGAGCUCAGUUGCGGCACCACGGAUUAGAGGUCGUCAUCAAGAAUGACAGCAACUAACUAUGGGGAUUCAGGGGCUUUGGGCCCAAGAACUGCAGAUAGCCCAGGAGCAACAGCCUAAUCCCGUGCCCCUUCCUUCACUGCCCCACUUCUGGCAUGGGACAGGGGGAAGUUCAGAAGGUGUGUCCUUGAACUGAGGCCCUGUGAUAUGGCAGCCUGCAGUGGUGUGAAACACACAAUGUGGACGUGCACUGACAGCCUUGCCCACACCCACCAUGCAGCCCCUGGGCCCUUGUGCUCCUCUUGCACACUGCAUGUGCUGUCUCCGUGCUGGAUACUGGACACACUAAACUGGGGGGCUUGUCCUGUGCUUGCUUAGAGUGCCCAGCAGAGGUCUGCUGACAGGUGAUGCUCUGGCUUGCCCCAGGACUCUGGCACUUCCAUUGGUUCUUCCUUUCCCUGGAGCUGAGGUUUAGAUGUGCACCCUGCGGCUCAGGGGAGCAAGCUUACACAAGAAGUGGGGGAAGGAUGUUUAGCAGUGGCUGGUGCCCAUGAAGAGGAGAUUGGCCAGCGAGAAGCUGAGGCCUAUGCAGACAUCUCUGGAGCCAGAGAGAACAACAGGCAGGGGCCCACUUGGGGCCUUCCCCCUUGUGGGGGUCGUUUUUUUUC